UACGGGGGGAGCAAGCGUUGUUCGGAUUUACUGGGCGUAAAGGGCGCGUAGGCGGCGCAACAAGUCACUUGUGAAAUCUCCGGGCUUAACUCGGAACGGUCAAGUGAUACUGUUGUGCUAGAGUGCGGAAGGGGCAACUGGAAUUCUCGGUGUAGCGGUGAAAUGCGUAGAUAUCGAGAGAAACACCUGCGGCGAAGGCGGGUUGCUGGGCCGACACUGACGCUGAUGCGCGAAAGCCAGGGGAGCGAACGGG
RNAcentral lists this ribosomal RNA (253 nucleotides) under uncultured bacterium. RNAcentral's name for it is "partial 16S ribosomal RNA". It matches the Rfam family "Bacterial small subunit ribosomal RNA", at positions 524 to 776 of the family's 1533-position model. The record is from RNAcentral.